RNAcentral lists this transfer RNA (66 nucleotides) under Cercodemas anceps. RNAcentral's name for it is "tRNA-Gly". Lineage: Eukaryota; Metazoa; Echinodermata; Holothuroidea; Dendrochirotida; Cucumariidae. The record is from RNAcentral.
ACGUAUUUAGUAUAUAAAUUAUAUCUAGCUUCCAACUAGAAGAUCUUGAAUAAUCAAGAACACGUA